CAAUUAAGGUUGGACUCGAACCAACAACCUUCCGAUUAUCAAUCGGAUGCUCUAACCAGUUGAGCUACUAGUC
This 73-nucleotide transfer RNA is filed under the name Bacillus phage PBC2. Its description in RNAcentral is "tRNA-Ile". The record is from RNAcentral. Lineage: Duplodnaviria; Heunggongvirae; Uroviricota; Caudoviricetes.